Molecule: ribosomal RNA, 326 nt
Filed under: uncultured Thauera sp.
Lineage: Bacteria; Pseudomonadati; Pseudomonadota; Betaproteobacteria; Rhodocyclales; Zoogloeaceae
Description: bacterial SSU rRNA
Rfam family: Bacterial small subunit ribosomal RNA
Source: RNAcentral
CAGGCUCGUGUCGUGAGAUGUUGGGUUAAGUCCCGCAACGAGCGCAACCCUUGUCACUAGUUGCCAUCAUUUAGUUGGGCACUCUAGUGAGACUGCCGGUGACAAACCGGAGGAAGGUGGGGAUGACGUCAAGUCCUCAUGGCCCUUAUGGUAGGGCUUCACACGUCAUACAAUGGUCGGUACAGAGGGUUGCCAAGCCGCGAGGGUGGAGCCAAUCCCUUAAAGCCGAUCGUAGUCCGGAUCGUAGUCUGCAACUCGACUACGUGAAGUCGGAAUCGCUAGUAAUCGCAGAUCAGCAUGCUGCGGUGAAUACGUUCCCGGGUCUU